Molecule: long non-coding RNA, 7283 nt
Organism: Sciurus carolinensis (gray squirrel)
Lineage: Eukaryota; Metazoa; Chordata; Mammalia; Rodentia; Sciuridae
Exons: 4
Source: RefSeq, a predicted model, not a curated record
CUAUUGUGAAAAGAACUCAUUUUCACGACUUCAGGAUGCUCUGGCCGUGUGUUAACGAGCAGGGCUAGAGAACAGAGGGAGGCGCCUUCUAAACACCUUUUAAAAAGGAACAGCUGAACCUCAGGUGAUUCCGACUUGAUGACUCUUCGAGUUCGCCCUCCACGUUUCCUGAGUACUGUGCUUCUCUUCCGAGCAGCGACUCAUCAGCAGCUCUCUCAGGCUGGCUCCCGUCCCUCAGGCCCUGUCAGUUAAGCCACUCACUACGUGGGAUCAAAGGCUCUCAGGGACCAGGGGUGCCGCGGAGGCUGAAGCUGUGGCUGCACUGGUGCAGCCGGUGCCCACAGACCCAGUAGACACCGAAGGCCUCUGAGCAAGUCCUCGGACAGACACCCGGUGAGCUGCCCAGCUGCAGGGUUACGCUUGCAGCAGGUGAGCACCCCGUCGCCGGCCUCACACGCGGCUGCAGACCGAGAGCUAAAAGCCGGCGCCCGUAGGGUCUGGCCACCCUCUACCCAGGCACCUUCUGUGCAUCCGAGCUGCCAAUGGGGUUGGCGCGUCGGGUCCCCCCAGUCUGUGGUGACAGCUCACUCCUAAAACCACGUCCUGGUACGCUGGGCCUGGGGGAAACUCAAACCAGCACUGACAUUUUUGUCCUGAGGAGCCUGGUGGUAGCAGGAAUCUUGCACGCAUGCCUUGAGUUGGAUAAACCAGUGGAGAAACCACCAGGCCGCUUGUCUUGUGUCCUGUGUGCCCAGGUGCCUCCGCCAGGGGCUUCCACCUGGAUGGGAGGCCUUCUGACCCGUCCAGAGGCAGCUCACCUCCUCCAGGGACUCUGGCACCUGCCCUGCCCAGGAGGGAAAGGAUGUUCUAAUACUGAAGUCAGUCCAACAAAGAUCAUGGCUCCCUAAUGGAUGUGGAGAAUGAGAAAUCCCCAAGAUAAUGAGGCCUGAGAAGAGGGAGUGGAAACGAAGGCCGGGCACUGACAGCCUUCGCCUCCCAGACAGAGGUUUCGGGGUGCGGCUGCAGAUGGAAGGAGGCGUCUUACACCCCUGGAGAACCAGUCUCUAGGGGGCGCUGACCUCCGCCAAACCCCUGUUCCUGUGUGAAGCUCCGUCCCUGAAUGAACAGCCGAGCUGACUCCUGAACUUGCGCCCUGCCUGGUCUUCCUGUGCUAACACUCCCCCUCCUGAGGGAGGCGCUGGCCAGGACGGCUGGGCCCAGCGUUUAGCGAGGUGACCCACACCGUGGGGAGGUGGCCCGCUGUCGCUGGCUCUGGGAGACAGGCACUGUGAGAGCAGCUUGGUUGUCCCUGUGGAGAGAGCCCUCUACAGAAGGAUAUGGAGGAAGUCAUCGCCUCCCUGCUGCCUCUAGCAAGGGUGGCCAUUCCAGUGUGGACUCACAGGGGGUGCCCAUGAGCACCUGCUGCCUCUGCAGACAAGCCACUCAGUUUCCCUGUCAGCUCCUGCCUGGACUUGCUGAACAUGCUCAGAAUCCAUUAGACCUGCCCAAGGAGGUUGGAAAAAAGCUGUUUCUGCUCAAAACUCCCAGUGGAAGUCAACUCCCAAGACAUUCCAAAGCCUGCCUCAGCUGGUCAGGAAAAAUUGGUCAAUUGAGAUCACUCAGAGCAGAGGGAGGGAGGCAGGGAGGACGGGAGGACCAAAGAGAGGGGCCAUCUGGGCCAGGGUCAAGUACGUUGGCUUCACUGAGCCAGUGCUCUUGGGAAAGGCUCACUUGGGUCCAGAGCCUCACGGGACAGCGUCCAUCAACACCACCAUCUCUGAAAACAAAACAAGGUCGCUCUGUAGUUUCCCUCCUACCCAGGUUCCACAUCCUCAAAUCAAUCAACAGCAGACGGAAAGAACCUGGGGAACCUGCAAGUGUACUGAGCACGAACAGCCUCCCGCUCACGUUACUGUUCUCAGCAGUACGGUACGGCAAACCUCCAGAGCUCGCGCCGCGUCACGCUGGAUGGUGAGGAAUCCGGAGGUGACUUAAAGCACACGGGAGGACAGAGGUAGGCUGCAUGCAAAUCCUGCACCGCUCAACAGAGGGACUUGAGCACCUGCAGACUUUGGAGUGGAGGUGGGGGUCCUGGGUCGGGGCCCCUGUGGCUCCCAGGGAGGCCUCAUGGAGGAAGGAGUAGCCCACCAGCUCUGAGCUGGCGCCUCUUUGGGAGCUCCAGGCCUCCUCUUGCCCUCUGCUCCUCUGCUGUGCCAUGAGAAGAGCACCCCCAUCUUGCCCGCCAGUCAGAGGGGAGAGUCACAUGAGGGACGGCACAGAGCAGCCAGCUGAGCCCAGCCGAGAUGCUGACCCCCAGCAGCUGACGGAACAGGAGGACAGUGCCACCGAGACUUGUGCUGCUUGUUACAGAGCAGUAUCGGAGGGACGCAGCACUAAAGAAAGCAAUGGAGUGUGAGCAGGGAGGGGAUGGGCAGAGGUCGUAGGCAGGGCUGUCCGGUGCAUGCACCCACAGCGGCCCCGUAGCCUCAGACGUGUUACUGGUCCCAUUAGGGAAACACUCUUUGGAAUCCUACGCCCAAAUCAGCUAAGCAUUUGGAAGCUGGAGGCUGGGGAGAGGUGCCAGACGCCGUCUGUCUUCAUGUUGGCUUUUCAGGUCCAGCGACCUGUACAACAGGGAGCACGUGUGUAGACCACCAGAAUGACCUUGCUCCCUUCCGCAGAUGAGGGCGUCUUCUCGGACGUCCACAGGGAGGCCAUCAAUGCCGCUGGGCAUCAGGGAACUGUGCAGACGCGGCACCUCUCUAGAAACAGGAGCCCGUGCUCUGGCCACCUCGCAUGUUUUCACAGGUGGUCCAGCUCUUGGUUCCCAGGUGCCCAGGAAGGUGGUGCUCUCUGGCCACUGGGUUUGGGUGGAGCCAAGUGACUCCUGAGUGGAGCACUCCUCCCAGUCUGUGGUGAAGCUCGUGUUGUGACCAUGACCCUGACCAGCAGCGGCACGCCUGUCCCUGCUACAGGGCAGAGGAGCAGGGCAGGCUCAGCUCACCGGACGGCGCUAGUGACAAGGAGAAGGAGCUGUCCCCACACGGACCCUAGCACACGGGCCCCUGCUGCGUUGACAAACCUGCCUGCUGAGACCGGCACGGGCCAUGCCUGUGGCGUGGGAAAACAUGUUGCGACAGAGAGGAAGGAAACUGCACGUCAUGUGACUAGCUCAGUGCGACAUGGGGCAGGUAUAUGGGGUUUGAUUUUCAGCCCAGUCAAUGGAUAGGACCCACCUGUGGGAAGCAGAGGGAACAAGUUCAUCGGGCCCACCAGGCCCAGAAUCCAGGGCUCUGCCAGGCCUGGUUGGGGAAAUUAAGGGCCUCUAGAAGUAGUGUGUGGCCAGGGCACCUUGGGGGACACUCCCGGAAGUCCUGACACCAGCCAUCCACAUCCUCAGCCAGCUCCUGCCCUGCAGUUCACAAACAGCCUCCAGGACCUGGCAGCUGCAGGAGACCCCGUGUUCACCUCUACAAGCUGCUGUGGUGGCCCGAGUUCUUCCUGGUUGUUGAGCAAGGCCCUUCGUUUCUUUUUGCCAGGGGUCCCGCAAAUCAUAUAGCCUGUCCAGCCAAGGGGUGCUCAGUGGCAAACAGCAGACCUCCAGGUCAGGACAGGACCAGAGCCGGUCCAUUCAGGCUGCCCUGACAAACCCAUGCGCUGUGUGAAGCAAUAGACCUCGACUUCUGGUUCUGGAGGCUGGAAGCCCAAGGUCCAGGUACUGGCAGAUUCAGUCUGGCAGGCCCACGUCCUGGCUCACUGAUACAGUUUCCUGAUGUGUCCACACUGAGGUUCACACUGGGGUCUUUUCUGUACACAUGAAUCCUAUUCAUGCAAGCCCCACCCUGGGGACCCCCAAUACCUCCCAGACUCCACCUCAGUACCAACACAAGUACUGGGGGACACAAACAGAGCAUGGCAGCCAGCCCUGUGUACCAUGCCUCGCCUGGGGGAAGCUGGGCUCAGGAGAAAGGGCUCCAAGGCCAGGGAGAGGACUGAGCCUCCCACUUGGAUGGCCAGCAGCAGUUAGAGCUGUGUGGCUUAGUCGGAGCACUGACCGUCAGCCCCACGUCCCCGCGGUCCCUGCCUUGGCAGUGUAGCUCAUUACAGGGCUGAGAUGAGAGGAGGAGCUCCCAGCACACCAGGUGCCAGCUUCACCAGGAGACUUGCUGGAUACGUGUUGUCCCCAUGAGUAAGAGCAUUGCCCACUCACUGCAUAUGGAGGCCCAGAGGCACAGGGAGUGUAAGCCAUUUGCCCAAAGUAGUCAGGGCUCCAACAGGUCUAUGAUGGGCAAAGACCCAGGGCUGGAAGAGGCAGAGAACCAGGUGAAAAGGCUCAGACAGGAAGGCUGGAUGGUCCAGGAAGGGGAUGCUCAGAGCCCUUCAAUAGAGGAGAGAGGGAAGGGGCAGGGCCAGGGAUGAGGGGCUCUGAUCUCAGCUGCCAUCUCUCAAUCAGAAGCGCUGACCAAGGAGAGGCUGGGCAGAGCUCCCAGCCCUCUGGCCUCCUCAGCUUAGGCUGCAAAGCACAGCCUCACAGGUGGCUCUCGUCCAGGUCUCCAAAAUGUCAUCCUCCUUUAGGGAACACCAUCAAACCAAGCAGAUCCUUACCGUUGCCUAAUUUCGAAUGAACUUGUUAAAGCAUUUUUAGUGUAAUGAAAACAUUAGAGCGACUCCUAGCAGGGGCACUGUCACUAAAUCAAUAGCCUGCGGAGCCGUCAGGCUGAAGGCUGACAUGCAGGGAGGCCUGCCAACAGCAGGGCCACAGAAGUGCCCUCCUCGAGUGACCGGGUGGGGCAGAGAUGGGAGCCUGCUCCAUCUGCUGUGCGGAAGGCUGAGAAGAGGGAGCAGGUGGGUCUGAAUGUGGCUGAGGUCCUCAGCUCCCCAGGACGGUGGUGGGGCCGCCUCGCUGUGGUGUGCAGACGCUGCACCUACAAGACUCUCACACCCAGGCCCCAUUGCACGGGGAGAGCAUGGCAGAAACAAAUGCAGCCGAGGUGAGCGCUAGGGCCCCUGCAGGGCAGGGCUCCACUGUCCAAGGGAGCCGUCGGACACGCCCACCAUGAAGCAUGGGGUUUUGGAACCAUCAAGCUGCACAUUUGGGGCUUUCUUUUUCCUUUUCCUUGGCAGUGCUGGGAUUGAACCCAGGGCCUUGUGCUUGACAGGCAAGUACUCUACCAACUGAGCUAUGUCCCCAGCCCAACAUCUGGGCUUUCUAAGAAGGGGACAGUCAGGGAGGACAAGCCUGUUAUUCGGCAUCCCAGAGCAUCCAGGUGAGCUGCCCCAAAACUACCCAUUCUAUGCAUACACACGCCCCUACCCGUGCCCACAUGCUCUAUGGGCAGCACCUGAGAGGGAAUCAAGUUCACUAUGGGAUGAAGACAGAAGCACAGAGGAUGCAGAGCCAGAGCCCAGCAGAAGGGGUGUCUGCGUGAGCCUGGGGACCCCAGCAGCUCUGAGCCCCGAGGAAGCGUCAGAUGAGGGUGUGAAAGUCCGGGGUCUAAGGCAAAGUGGGGAAAGAACUGUCUGGGGAAUCAGAACGAGCCAGAAGGGGAAAAGCGUCACAAGAUGUGAGCAAAUUAACCCGGAAAAGGUGUCAGAGCACUGAGAACCCCACACGCCUCUAAAAGGAACGACCCUCCUACAGGCACAGGGGGUCAACUGCAAAACACAGGAAGGAGGCCUCCCUGGUGCUGGCAAGGCCAAGCAGCAGGAGACACGCAAAACCAACGCGCUCCAGGCAGGGACCAGUGACGCCACCGCCUCUACCUCGUCUAAACCCAGGCAAGGCACAACAGCCGGUGAACUGCCAACGGUGGCUCCAGGGGUAACAGUGAGUCAGGCAGAGCCACAGCUGUAACAAAGGGCGUCUGCUGGGACAUCCACCACGGGGACUGUGCCUAUGGGACUCCACUCUCCACUUGGUUUCUAUAUGAACCUAAAAUUGCUCAAGAAGCGAAACAUGCAGGACCUAUGUCAAGAAAACCUCUAGCUCUAGUGGGAGACAGUGUAAAGAUUCAGGUGAAGUAAUUUGCACUCAGAUAGGAAGAGUAAGUACUGUGCAGAUGUAAAUCUCUGCAAAUUAAUCUAUAUUCAUCCAAUGAGAUCACAAUCAAAAUAACAAGAAGAUUUUUCUGACCUUUGUAAAUAAUUAAAGAGCUAAUGGAAGCUGGGUUCAGUCCCCAGCACCACACACACAAAAAGUUAAUAGAAAAUACAAGUGUAAGAUGGGAUAUUGAAACAAAGCAGGGCUGGGAUGCGGUGUGACAGCAGAGCACUCGCUGAGCGCCACACGAGGCCUUGGGCUCCACCCAGUGCCCACCAAACACGUCCAUGGUAUAAGGCUAUGGUAAGAAAAAGAAUACGAUAAUAAGAAUCAAAUACUGGUUAAAAACAGCAGAGUCCAGCAAUAGACUCCAACACAUAGAGGGGUUAAUUAUAAUAUUUAAAAUAACAGAAGUGGUAAAAAGCAAACACUGAGCAUGGAUUGAAUGCCAAAAGUCAGUUCAUGAGCCUUGAUUUCUGCUGUGAUUCAACACCAAAAUUAAUUCCAGGCGCAACCAAAAUGAUUUUAAAAGCAACUUCAAGUGGGUUGUCUUUAUAAGCACGAGAUGAAGCCAAAAAAUCAUAAGGAAAAACACUAAUAAAUUAUGUAGUUACAGUAUGCUGAUUUUAUAUGUUUUGGAUGCACACCAAGGAGGGUGAUGGUUGGCUCCCUAUCGUGCUACAUGUAGACCGAUGUUUACAGCAGUACCAUCUACAGCAGCCCGGCCGUGGAGCAGACGAAUGGACAAAGAGAAUAUGGUACAUACACACAACGGAGUUUAUGCAUCGUAAAGAAGAAUGCCAUCGAUCAUUUGCUGGUACCUGGAUGGAACUAGAGAACGUCAUGCUGAGCGAAGCGAGCCAGACUCAGAGAAUUAAGAGUUGAAUGUUUUCUCUCAUCUGUGGAAGCUACAGGGAAAAAAUAAUAGAAGGGGGAAUCUUUGUGAAAAUAGAAGGGAGAGCAGUAAAGUAAGAGGCAGAGGGGAACCGAGUUCAUCGAAUUGUGCUGUGUGCAUGUGAAACUAUGCCAUGGUGCACGCCGGUCACGUAUACGUAACCAGGGUACACCUGCUGGGAAAUAAACAGGGCUGGGCUGGGCUCAGGGGCAGAGCGCUUGCCUUGCACGUGUAUGGCCUGGGUUCCAUCCUCAGCCCCAGAAAAAAUAAAUAAAUAAAUAAGACAGAGGUGUUGUAUCCACAUACAGCCAAAAACUCAGAAAUAAAAAAAUAAAUAGAAGGCAAAUA